UCGGAGAGUUUGAUUCUGGCUCAGAACGAACGCUGGCGGCGUGGAUAAGACAUGCAAGUCGAACGGAGAAUAUUCGGUAGCAAUACUGGGUAUUUUUAGUGGCGAAAGGGUGCGUAACACGUGGGUAAUCUACCGUAAAGUUCGGAAUAACUUCGAGAAAUCAAAGCUAAUACCGAAUGUGAUCUGACAGGGACAUCCCUGUUCCAUUAAAGCUAGGGACCUUCGGGCCUGGCGCUUUACGAUGAGCCCGCGCCCUAUCAGCUUGUUGGUGAGGUAAAAGCUCACCAAGGCUAAGACGGGUAGCCGGUCUGAGAGGACGAUCGGCCACACUGGAACUGAGACACGGUCCAGACACCUACGGGUGGCAGCAGUCGAGAAUCAUUCACAAUGGGGGAAACCCUGAUGGUGCGACGCCGCGUGGGGGAUGAAGGUCUUCGGAUUGUAAACCCCUGUCAUUUGUGAACAAACCUUUUGGUUUAAUAGAUCAAAAGCUGAUAGUAGCAAAAGAGGAAGGGACGGCUAACUCCGUGCCAGCAGCCGCGGUAAUACGGAGGUCCCAAGCGUUGUUCGGAUUUACUGGGCGUAAAGGGUGCGUAGGUGGCCAGGAAAGUUUGAUGUGAAAGCUCCGAGCUCAACUCGGAAAAUGCAUUGAAUACUACUUGGCUUGAGGAUCGGAGGGGAGACUGGAAUUCUCGGUGUAGCAGUGAAAUGCGUAGAUAUCGAGAGGAACACCAGUGGCGAAGGCGAGUCUCUGGACGAUUCCUGACACUGAGGCACGAAAGCUAGGGGAGCAAACAGGAUUAGAUACCCUGGUAGUCCUAGCAGUAAACGGUGUGCACUUGCUGUAGGGCGGUUCGACCCGCUCUGUGGCGGAGCUAACGCGUUAAGUGCACCGCCUGGGGAGUACGGCCGCAAGGUUAAAACUCAAAGAAAUUGACGGGGGCCUGCACAAGCGGUGGAGCAUGUGGCUUAAUUCGAUGCAACGCGAAGAACCUUACCUGGGCUUGACAUGUUUGUCAUAGUCCCGUGAAAGCGGGACGUCAGUUCGGCUGGACAAUCACAGGUGCUGCAUGGCUGUCGUCAGCUCGUGUCGUGAGAUGUUGGUUUAAGUACCGCAACGAGCGCAACCCCUGUGUCCUGUUGCCACGGAGAACACGUUUCUCCAGCACUCCGGACAGACUGCCUCAUUUGAAUGAGGAGGAAGGUGGGGAUGACGUCAAGUCAGUAUG
This 1229-nucleotide ribosomal RNA is filed under the name Verrucomicrobiota bacterium. RNAcentral's name for it is "bacterial SSU rRNA". It matches the Rfam family "Bacterial small subunit ribosomal RNA", at positions 1 to 1197 of the family's 1533-position model. Lineage: Bacteria; Pseudomonadati; Verrucomicrobiota. The record is from RNAcentral.